This 30-nucleotide non-coding RNA is filed under the name Rattus norvegicus (Norway rat). Lineage: Eukaryota; Metazoa; Chordata; Mammalia; Rodentia; Muridae. The record is from RNAcentral.
UGGUGAUUCCUUCUCUUGGAUGUAUCCCGA